Molecule: long non-coding RNA, 794 nt
Organism: Drosophila hydei
Lineage: Eukaryota; Metazoa; Arthropoda; Insecta; Diptera; Drosophilidae
Exons: 3
Source: RefSeq, a predicted model, not a curated record
UAAAUUUUGCUUAAAACAAUUCAAACCAAAUACAGAUCUUUGUUUCGACUCACCAACAUAUGCGCUGCAAAACGAAACAUGAACAGCAAUUGCACCACCGGACCUAAGAAAAAGAUGGGCACCAGAUGUAGGCUCAGCGAUAAGCCACUCAGCAUCAACCACUUCCACAUGGAGUAGAUGAAGCAUAUACACAUCGCUAGAUUCGACAAUAUGACCAGACUGCUAACAUAUACCAGCUUGCAGCGCUAAGAGUUAGAGAAGAACUUUAUUCAAAUAGAUUUACAAACACAAUAAGGAAGAGUCAAGAGUGCCUGACUAGGCGCCCAUUACGCUCGUUGAAUGCAUAACGAUUCUGCUUAAUGUAUACUUAAUAACUAUUCAAAUAUUUGCCAUACAGAGAAGAGCUCUGCUGGCCUUUAAGGCGGGCGAGACUUCCUUUCAUUGAGCGACAAGCAAGAGAACUUUCAGCUGAUGCAAGCAUUCUAACUGACAUUCAUAUGAAUAGUAAAACUCUUAUGAACCUAAAGCGCUGCUGAAUUAACAAGAAAUGCACCUUCAUUCUGCAAUUAGACAAAUGAAAACAAUUCAAUAUAUUUCUUUUUAGACCUUCGGAAACUGGGCCUUUAGUCGCAAAAGUGUGCACUUCCGAAAUGGUUGUAACUGUACAGCAGCAAUCGGCAGGCCUUUUAUACCCAGCGAUAAACCAACGCAAGUUCUCUGAUAUGUAUAUACUUUAUGCUGAAAUAAAAAAUAAAAAUUCUAAUCAAUUACAAGAAUAUACAGAGGGCCUUAUC